GAGUUUUAUUUAGAAUCCUGAUCUAUCUUUUACAUCACCCCAAGCAAUUGAAUCAGAUGGUGAAGAUUCCGUUCCUCUGAGUACUUAAUUGCUGCACUCUGUUCUGAACCAGAAUGGUUAUAUAGCGGAGAAGAUGGAGGCGGGGGAGAGAGGAGAGAGAUAAAGUAACAGUCACAGACAGAUCGCCAAAAGGAUCGGAAAAGCUGCGAUUUCCCUUGUCAUCGUCGUCUUCUACUCCAUCUUCAUCAGGACCGUCGAUUUCAUAUCGUAGUUCUUCCCUAUGCCCAUCACUAGAGCCUCUGUCCUUGAAAGCUCCGCCGAUCUCAGAAUUAUCUUAGACACCGAAAUCAACCAUAGCGAAGUGGUGGACUACACCGGCAACCCCAUCAACGGGGGCAGGCUGAUCGCGCUCAGGGCCACCAUUGUUUGGCGUGAUCUUCUGAGAACCACCAUGGUAGCCAAUGCUCGCACGAGCUUGGCGCUCACCCGGUUCAUCACCGACAAAGGUGGCCGCCAUUGCUUGUACUGAGUUGGCUAUUGGAAUGUCAUCGACAAAGGAAUUCAUCUUAAUAGAGACUACAUCGAAACACAUUUCAUGAUCGAAACAUCUGGGAACGAUGCUCUCAAAGAGAAUCAUUUUCUCAAUGAUGGGGCUUACAUUAUGGUAAAGAUAAUAGUUGAAAUGGUUCGCAUGAAGCUGAAAGGAUCAAAUGAAGGCAUUGUCAGUCUAAUAAAGAUCUCGAAGAGCCAUUAGAGUCCGUGGAGCUAAAAAUGAACAUCAUAUAUGAGGAUGAAUGUGAAGAUGGAUUGGAGUUCAUCGUGAAUCAUGGGGGCAGUCGACAUGUUUGGGUCAAUAAGAGUUUGCCACAGAUUCGCGAGGAGGUAGCGAGGCUUAAAGAUGUUCAACGAAAACCUCAAAUCGUCUCGGAUUUGGAAUUACAGGAAGCUGCAGGGAAGGAGAAAGGUGAUUGUGAGUCAUCUGCUGCACAUUCUGAAAAAUCCCAACGUAACCGUGAACCCCAGGUUCAAAUAUAGGAGGUUGGAUGUGAGUCAUCGGAGGAAGAAACUGAUGACGAAGAAGACGGUGAACCAAUUUCGAAUGAUUUUGGGGAAGAUGGAACUGAUGGGGAGUACGAAGCGGAAGAUGAGUCUGAUGCUUUAGAAACUCUUGGAACAAAAGAUACUGUUGAAACUAAUUGUGAGGCCGAAGGUGGUGCAACUAAAGGUGCUGCAAAGGAAGUCGAUACUGAAGGGUAUGCUAUAGGUGUUCGAAAAAAUGCUUCAAAGGGUUCUGCCACUGCAGGGGAUCGUUUGACUGCAGCUAAAGUCACUAAAAAUGCUGGAACACCAAGUGUUUAUCAAAAUGCCACAGAAGGUGAGAAAGAGUUUUACAUGAAAUGGAAUAAGAAGGUUGCGUGGAGGGAUCUCUUUGCCAAAAAUAGGCACCGACAGAGCUGUGGUGCGGUUCCUUGCUUUGUUCCGAAUGGUAAGGUUCCUCAAGUUGGAGAAGAAAAGAUCGAUGAUCUAGAGGGGAAUUGGAAGCACUGCAUAGUUGGAUACUUUGUGAGUAAAUUCCCAGGCAAAGCAGCUCUAAAUGCGAUUGUUGAGUCUUAGUUUGCUAAGGUUGAGGUGUGCAACCAUAAAAGUGGUUGGAAUACUUAUCUAAGGAGGACGAGGUCAAGAGAGAAAUGUCUUUCGAAGACAUUGAUGGUGACGAUGUUGUUUACCUAGAUUUGAAGGAUUCAUACCGAGUUGUUCCUUUGGUAGAUUGUAAUAUAUCUACUAGACAAGAAGCUACGGAACUAGAAGAAAAUCGAAAUGAUUUUGUUUUCGGCUAUGAUUUGAAGUAGCAGAAGGGUAUGGGGCUAAAUGAAACCCCCUUGUAGCAAAUCAAAAUCAGGAAGAUAGAUUCUUAUGGACACGAUGUUCAUGAGAGCUCGAGUGGUCUAAAUCUAGAUCCAAACAAACGUACAGUACACCACGAAGCGUAUCCCCAGGGUUCAACUAGAAGCUCCUUAUCUUAAAGCUAUCAAAGAAUGCCAGGAAUGGAGAUCCAAAUUUGAAGCUAGCCAAGAAUGCCAGGAAUGUACUAGUCAUCCUUGCCUGAUUCUCAAGGUGGUCGUGAUCAGGGAUCGUGAAGGUCGUUCGAUUUUUGGUUGUUACAUUGAGUUUUGGUUAAAAAUGACUAUCAACAUUGUGUUUUUAUCAUUUUUCAGGUGAAUGAUUUAUUUGAAAUGAAUGAAUUAUCUAAGUUGUGCAAAGGGACCCUCUAGUAGUCAAAAAACAUUUCAGUUUUGUUAUGAGAUGGAAAUAAAAUGAUGAAUUCAAGGCUUCACAAAAGCAAGACCAAAUUUGA
Malania oleifera is the source of this 2356-nucleotide long non-coding RNA. RefSeq lists it as uncharacterized. Lineage: Eukaryota; Viridiplantae; Streptophyta; Magnoliopsida; Santalales; Ximeniaceae. The transcript is spliced from 2 exons. The record is from RefSeq and is a predicted model, not a curated record.